RNAcentral lists this small RNA (281 nucleotides) under uncultured Gellertiella sp. RNAcentral's name for it is "5' ureB small RNA". It matches the Rfam family "5' ureB small RNA". Lineage: Bacteria; Pseudomonadati; Pseudomonadota; Alphaproteobacteria; Hyphomicrobiales; Rhizobiaceae. The record is from RNAcentral.
UCGAUCUGUUGCGGCGCGAUGAAAUGGAUAUGGCUGUCGAUGCCGCCCGCUGUCAGGAUGCGGCCUUCACCGGCAAUGAUUUCCGUAGAGGGACCGAUCACGAUGGUCACGCCAUCCUGGGUAUCGGGAUUGCCCGCCUUGCCGAUGGCGGCGAUGCGGCCGUUCUUCAGGCCGACAUCCGCCUUGAUGAUGGCGGUAUGAUCAACGAUCAGCGCAUUGGUGAUGACCGUGUCCAUCGCCCCUUGGCCACGGGUCGCCUGUGACUGGCCCAUGCCGUCGCG